GUGGGGAAUCUUCCGCAAUGGACGAAAGUCUGACGGAGCAACGCCGCGUGAGUGAAGAAGGUUUUCGGAUCGUAAAGCUCUUUCGUUAGGGACGAACGUGCUCUUUGUGAAUAAUGAGGAGUAAUGACGGUACCUAAAUAAGAAGCCACGGCUAACUACGUGCCAGCAGCCGCGGUAAUACGUAGGUGGCAAGCGUUGUCCGGAAUUAUUGGGCGUAAAGCGCGCGCAGGCGGGAUAUCAAGUCUGUCUUAAAAGUGCGAGGCUCAACCUCGUGAGGGGACAGAAACUGGUAUGCUUGAGGGUCGGAGAGGAAAGUGGAAUUCCAAGUGGAGCGGUGAAAUGCGUAGAGAUUUGGAAGAACACCAGUGGCGAAGGCGACUUUCUGGACGAUGUCUGACGCUGAGGCGCGAAAGCUAGGGGAGCGAACGGGAUUAGAAACCCCUGUAGUCC
RNAcentral lists this ribosomal RNA (450 nucleotides) under uncultured bacterium. RNAcentral's name for it is "partial 16S ribosomal RNA". It matches the Rfam family "Bacterial small subunit ribosomal RNA", at positions 354 to 796 of the family's 1533-position model. The record is from RNAcentral.